UGCAGGAACGUCAUUUCCUUGUUACCGGAAGCACAGGGCACAGCCGCACUCGGGUAGAGACUGUGCUGCAUUGUCGCCAGGGUUUUCAGGUAGAGAUGUAGUCUAACGAGUGGUAACUAUCUAAAAGCAUGGAAGACCUGACUGACUUCUUGAGACGAAGAGAAGUCUCUGAGGAAAUAAUACAAACCCUGGAGAAUGAGAAGUGAAUUAUUUUUCCCUCUGUAGAUCGAUGCCAGUGUUAUAAAUCUGAUGUCAGAUGAGGAGCUGAAGACUUAUCUACCAUCAUAUGGUGAUCGCCUUGCAGUAUUUGGAUUUUGCAGACGGCAGGGCAACAGCCGAAAGUCGACGCUUUUUGAACGUCUGAAAACCAAAUUGUCCAAAAGAAAAACAUCUGAAGAUGGCAGCAGCA
This is a long non-coding RNA of Archocentrus centrarchus (flier cichlid), 409 nucleotides long. RefSeq lists it as uncharacterized. The record is from RefSeq and is a predicted model, not a curated record. The transcript has 3 exons. NCBI's taxonomy places the organism in Eukaryota, Metazoa, Chordata, Actinopteri, Cichliformes, Cichlidae.